RNAcentral lists this ribosomal RNA (292 nucleotides) under uncultured bacterium. RNAcentral describes it as "partial 16S ribosomal RNA". It matches the Rfam family "Bacterial small subunit ribosomal RNA", at positions 505 to 796 of the family's 1533-position model. The record is from RNAcentral.
GUGCCAGCAGCCGCGGUAAAACGUAGGAGACGAGCGUUAUCCGGAUUUACUGGGCGUAAAGCGUGUGCAGGCGGUUCGGCAAGUUGGAUGUGAAAUCUCCCGGCUCAACUGGGAGGGGUCGUUCAAAACUACCGAACUUGAGGGCAUCAGAGGAAGGUGGAAUUCCGGGUGUAGUGGUGAAAUGCGUAGAUAUCCGGAGGAACACCAGUGGCGAAGGCGGCCUUCUGGGAUGCUCCUGACGCUCAGACACGAAAGCUAGGGGAGCGAACGGGAUUAGAUACCCUCGUAGUCC